This 761-nucleotide long non-coding RNA is filed under the name Citrus x clementina. Its description in RNAcentral is "Citrus clementina (C. clementina) long non-coding RNA (CCLE_LNC006859)". Lineage: Eukaryota; Viridiplantae; Streptophyta; Magnoliopsida; Sapindales; Rutaceae. The record is from RNAcentral.
UAAUUUAAAUUAAUGAUUUUAUUUAAGUAUUUGAUUUUUAAUUUAUUUAAAUCAUGUAUCUAUAUCUACUACAAAAUAAAUAAAUGGGGAAUGGGGUGAGGAUGAGGGAAAUUAUUCUCCACAUGGGGAUUCCCCAUCCCCACCCCACUAAUGCUGCGUUUACUUACCGAAUUGGGGAAUUGGAAUCCGGAAUCGAAAUAAUUGAUAGCGUUUACUUCGCAAAAUUAAGGCAGGAAUCAGAAUCGGAAUGGUGGGACCCACUACUAUUUAGGAAUGGGGAAUGGGAGAUUGAUUCCCAUGGGGGAGGUGGGAAUCAGUCUCCCAUUCUCGGGACUUCCCAUUUUACCCCCAAUGAUAUUACAAUAUUCCUAAAAUACCCUCAUUGAAAUAAAAAAUAUAAAAACUGAAAAUUAAAAAAAAAAAGCAAAAUCCCUAGACCCGUUCUUCUCUUCGAAGCUGGAUGCCAUUGCCAUAGCCCUUCAUACGCCGUCGUUGACUCGUCGGUUUUAAAUCACACGCCGUCGUUGGCUCUUAAAUCGCUGGCCAUCGUCUUCGCAGCGACUUCCUGUCGUUGUCACUGGUCUCGUCAUCACUGAACUUCCCGUCACCAUCGUCUUUGCUCUGAAAUCACCGGUCUUGUUGCUUCGCCGCUCGUCUUUGCCUCCCGUUCACCGCCGAUCGGAAGCUUCUCAUCACCAUCGUUGCCAUUUGUUGAUUUUGGACCAUACAAAUUUUAUAUUUAUAAUAAUAAAAUUAACCAA